Molecule: ribosomal RNA, 319 nt
Filed under: uncultured eukaryote
Lineage: Eukaryota
Description: partial 18S ribosomal RNA
Rfam family: Eukaryotic small subunit ribosomal RNA
Source: RNAcentral
CCCUUAGAUGUUCUGGGCUGCACGCGUGCUACAAUGGCGUUUCCAGCAAGUCUGCGAACCCGAGAGGGCCAGCGGAUCUUCGAAUUGGCGUCGUGAUCGGGACAGUCGAUUGCAAUUAUUUGACUCAAACGAGGAAUUCCUUGUAAUCGCGAUUCAUCAUAUCGCGCUGAAUACGUCCCUGCCCUUUGUACACACCGCCCGUCGCUCCUACCGAUUGAGCGAUCCGGUAAAUGUUUUGGAUUGGUGCCGGGGCGGCUAGCUGCCGGUCGCUACGAAAUUUUGUGAACCUUAUCGCUUAGAGGAAGGUGAAGUCGUAACA